UGUGGCCUACGGGGGGCAGCAGUGGGGGAUAUUGCACAAUGGGGGAAACCCUGAUGCAGCGACGCCGCGUGAGUGAAGAAGAAUUUCGGUACGUAAAGCUCUAUCAGCAGGGAAGAAAAAAAGUCCACAGGACUUUGGACGGUACCUGACUAAGAAGCCCCGGCUAACUACGUGCCAGCAGCCGCGGUAAUACGUAGGGGGCAAGCGUUAUCCGGAUUUACUGGGAGUAAAGGGAGCGUAGGCGGCUGUGCAAGUCUGAAGUGAAAUGCCGGGGCGCAACACCGGAACUGCUUUGGAAACUGUAA
RNAcentral lists this ribosomal RNA (305 nucleotides) under uncultured bacterium. RNAcentral's name for it is "partial 16S ribosomal RNA". It matches the Rfam family "Bacterial small subunit ribosomal RNA", at positions 333 to 638 of the family's 1533-position model. The record is from RNAcentral.